This 427-nucleotide ribosomal RNA is filed under the name uncultured bacterium. Its description in RNAcentral is "partial 16S ribosomal RNA". It matches the Rfam family "Bacterial small subunit ribosomal RNA", at positions 355 to 774 of the family's 1533-position model. The record is from RNAcentral.
UGGGGAAUAUUGCACAAUGGGCGCAAGCCUGAUGCAGCCAUGCCGCGUGUAUGAAGAAGGCCUUCGGGUUGUAAAGUACUUUCAGCGGGGAGGAAGGCGAUAAGGUUAAUAACCUUGUCGAUUGACGUUACCCGCAGAAGAAGCACCGGCUAACUCCGUGCCAGCAGCCGCGGUAAUACGGAGGGUGCAAGCGUUAAUCGGAAUUAAUGGGCGUAAAGCGCACGCAGGCGGUCAGUCAAGUCGGAUGUGAAAUCCCCGGGCUCAACCUGGGAACUGCAUUCGAAACUGGCAGGCUAGAGUCUUGUAGAGGGGGGUAGAAUUCCAGGUGUAGCGGUGAAAUGCGUAGAGAUCUGGAGGAAUACCGGUGGCGAAGGCGGCCCCCUGGACAAAGACUGACGCUCAGGUGCGAAAGCGUGGGGAGCAAACA